This 506-nucleotide long non-coding RNA is filed under the name Zea mays. RNAcentral describes it as "long non-coding RNA (ZMAY_LNC002148)". The record is from RNAcentral. Lineage: Eukaryota; Viridiplantae; Streptophyta; Magnoliopsida; Poales; Poaceae.
CUAGUGAGAAAACAUCACACAUGUUCAGUCUUGUUACCCUGAUUCGCACAAUGAUCUAAAACAAAACAACCGCAAAAGCAGCAGGGGUUGUCUUGUUCCACGCUCCAUGUCCACCGAUCAUGUGCUGCGGACUGCCAAACACUCAGCUUUUCAGCCAGCUUCUAUAAAAUUCGUUUGGAUAAAAAACAUUCAAAAUCAACAUAAACAUAUAAUCAGUUGAGUCGUCGCAAUAGUAGUAAUCCGUCACUUUAUAGAUCCUGAGCCCCAUGGACAACUUUAUCUUUCUCCGCACGUAAUUCUAAUGAUACUCAGAUUCUCUACACAGCUAGAUUCUCGGAAAAGCUGGUCAGAAAAAAGCUGAACCAAACAGACCCCAUGCUCUCUCAGCGGACAAGGCCUCCGCUCCGUGCCUUCUCCCUCCCUACAGAUUUCCAGCACCCAGAAACUAACUACCCUUCAGUGUAGCACAACUGCAAACAAACACCGGGGGGGCCUCGCUCGCGUGU